This 478-nucleotide ribosomal RNA is filed under the name uncultured bacterium. RNAcentral's name for it is "partial 16S ribosomal RNA". It matches the Rfam family "Bacterial small subunit ribosomal RNA", at positions 28 to 523 of the family's 1533-position model. The record is from RNAcentral.
GACGAACGCUGGCGGCGUGCUUAACACAUGCAAGUCGAACGGUAAGGCCCUUCGGGGUACACGAGUGGCGAACGGGUGAGUAACACGUGGGUGAUCUGCCCUGGACUUCGGGAUAAGCCUGGGAAACUGGGUCUAAUACCGGAUAGGACCACUGCCUACAUGGGUGGUGGUGGAAAGCUUUUGCGGUGUGGGAUGGGCCCGCGGCCUAUCAGCUUGUUGGUGGGGUGAUGGCCUACCAAGGGGACGACGGGUAGCCGGCCGGAGAGGGUGACCGGCCACACUGGGACUGAGAUACGGCCCAGACUCCUACGGGAGGCAGCAGUGGGGAAUAUUGCACAAUGGGCGCAAGCCUGAUGCAGCGACGCCGCGUGAGGGAUGACGGCCUUCGGGUUGUAAACCUCUUUCAGCACCGACGAAGCGCAAGUGACGGUAGGUGCAGAAGAAGGACCGGCCAACUACGUGCCAGCCGCCGCAGUAA